CUCAUGCUACGCCAUGGGCACAAAGUGUCAUCAUCUGUGAUGUUCCUAAGUGAAGGAAGCCAGACACAGAAGGUCAUAUGCUGGAUGACUCCGCUUGUACACGGUGGCAGAGCAAUCACAUUCUCAGAGUCAGGAAGUACAGUGGUGGUUGCCAGGGGACACGGGGAAGGAAACGGGGAGGUAGCGUCUCGUGAGGACUGACGGACAGUUUGGGAAGAUGAGAACGCUCUGGAGAUGGAUGGUGGUGAUGGUUGCCCACAGUUAAGGAAAUGGAAGAGGGGGGCGGCCACGAUGCGUCGAAGAGGGAAGUGUUGAGUCUCCAAGUCCUCCCUGGGAUGCACGGAAACGGCGCCUAACCGUGUGAGAAUGUGGCUAUAAGAUGCUCCGCACAGAAAUACUUUCUUGGCACGAGAAGCACAUGCAGUAAACAGCCAGCCACGGGGACCUCUCCCAGUUUCCACUGUUCUAGUAAAUACUGUGAGCACACAUUCCAAGCUGAAA
Molecule: long non-coding RNA, 501 nt
Organism: Suricata suricatta (meerkat)
Lineage: Eukaryota; Metazoa; Chordata; Mammalia; Carnivora; Herpestidae
Exons: 2
Source: RefSeq, a predicted model, not a curated record